Molecule: long non-coding RNA, 221 nt
Filed under: Lathyrus oleraceus (garden pea)
Lineage: Eukaryota; Viridiplantae; Streptophyta; Magnoliopsida; Fabales; Fabaceae
Description: Pisum sativum (pea) long non-coding RNA (PSAT_LNC041628)
Source: RNAcentral
ACCGGCUCGCACUCUGAUAGUGCACUUACUCGAAUUCAACCUCAGUUUGAAUUAUCUCACCAGAUUACUCAACUUGGUCAGAUCCACCAGAUGCCCCUCUUCUGCUUGGGACUUUGCUAUCAUGUCAUAGCAUUCGAUUUCAACUUCAUGAUGAAUCACAUCAUGAAACAAAGUCACCAUGGCUCUCUGAUACAGGCACUGGCGUUCUGCUUCUCUAGAGG